RNAcentral lists this small nucleolar RNA (68 nucleotides) under Ornithorhynchus anatinus (platypus). Its description in RNAcentral is "C/D box snoRNA Oa2073". Lineage: Eukaryota; Metazoa; Chordata; Mammalia; Monotremata; Ornithorhynchidae. The record is from RNAcentral.
CCAAGUGAUGAGACCUUUUGUACAGUUCUGCUGCUGAUGUUGAGCGAUGACAACGGGUAAUCUGAAAC